AAUAACUUAACAACUUAAAUUAGAAAAAAAAAUAAAUAUCCCGGACGUAGCCCGGGUAAAUCCCUAGUUAACUAAUUACACAAAAAGUGAAAAAAUGUUGCAGUCUUAAUAUGGAAAAUAAUAUAUUUAGUUUGUUUAGAUUCAGACUUCGUAAAAUUUUGAAAAUUAAAUUAUUAUUUGUAACAAAUUUACAAAACUUAAGCAUAAUAUCUGUUUACUAUUUUUAAAAACAGAUUUCGUAUGAAAUAUAGUUAGGGUAUGCACU
Molecule: long non-coding RNA, 265 nt
Filed under: Brassica rapa (field mustard)
Lineage: Eukaryota; Viridiplantae; Streptophyta; Magnoliopsida; Brassicales; Brassicaceae
Description: long non-coding RNA (BRAP_LNC006256)
Source: RNAcentral